Molecule: long non-coding RNA, 4988 nt
Filed under: Nicotiana tabacum (common tobacco)
Lineage: Eukaryota; Viridiplantae; Streptophyta; Magnoliopsida; Solanales; Solanaceae
Description: long non-coding RNA (NTAB_LNC010665)
Source: RNAcentral
AAAUCUCCACACAUAAAUAAGCUAGCAAUACUCCUAUUUAUAAUAGUAUGAAUCAGAUACAUUAAUUAUGGCUCACGGACUUCAGUAAAUCAGAGAAUGACCAAGGCAAUUGCGUCACCUGCUUGCACUUAAAAUCUGUGGUACUAAUUUGUUAAAACUUCUUUACCUGCUUGCACUAUUCCAGGCUUAUUGACCUAUUUGAAUACUAAAUAAAUUGCAGAUGAUAUUUUACUAAUAAACGGUCUGCACAUGAUUGAAGAGCUCAUUUGAGAGAUGGAGCUGCCGACUGACUUCAUCAAUUUAAUAGUCUUCUCAAAAUUCCUAAAUUAUGAACAUAAAACUAUCUGAAGAGAAGAAAAGCUCAUAGGUGUAUCUGUAUCACUCACUGCUUCAUACUUCUCCAUUAUCCAGCAGCCCCAAUUAACUAUCUCUGACGAAUUAUUCCUUUUUUUUAUUAACCAUGGUGUCCAGGCCAGCUUAUGCACGCCUCAACUAAUUCCACAAAUUGCCUGCAAAGAUCUGUUCCAGUAGAAAUUUUGAGUUGUCAUGACAUAGAAUCAUUAAACUAUGUUGCAUACUCAGUAAAUCAAGGUUUUAUAAAGUCAUGACACAAUGAAAAAAGUCAUCAAAUCAGGUAAAUUAUGUAAGAAGAAAUCAAGAAAUGGCACCCUAAAUGAUUGUUUACUUUACCAUUGAGGCAAUCUUUUUAAAGACAAAAUCAAUUUGCAUUUAGCAUCGCGUCUAUAACUCCUAGGUUUAUAUACCGAAACAACCAAAAAAAGAGUUUAUCGUGAACACUCUAAAGAGGUAACAAACCACAUCUUCAAGUGAACCAACUCCAAAACGUUUUAGUAUAAUAAAGUUAGCAGCACCAUAAUAAAUAUUUACACUUUUAAAUUAUUGUGUCAAAGGAAAAACUUACUUAAAACCUAGAUAAAGUCUUUAAAUUGCAAUGCACAGUACGUCAACGUUGUUUUCAAUUGGAGUAAAGGAAUGAAUUGUACAGAAUACAGAUACUUUCUUUUCUUUCUUUUUCCUUUCAAAAUACAGAUGCUUUUCAUGGCGGCUAGAAAGAAAGUAGAUGUAGCGAAAUUAAAUCCUAGAAACCGAUCAACAAAGGUGUUAUGUUGUCGUUGAACAAUUUUAAAGUCAAUAAACAUGAAGCAUGUACUAUUAAGAAUGAGAAUCUAUGGAGUAGAAGAAAAAACCUUUUUUUGAGAUGGAGAAGAAAAAACCUUUUUUUGAGAUGGAGAAGAAAAAACCUUUUAAAUAUCAAACAAGCUUCACUUUAUACUGUGUUGUGCCUACUCUAACUAAUGUCUAAGAUAUUCAAACCAUAGGCAUGCUAAAUGGCCAACUUGUAUUUUAAAGGCUGGACUUGUCGUAGAAAGUAGUAACAUCAUUUUGCUUUCUUAUUCUACUUUCUUUUCUUGUAUCAUCUAUUGGAUCUAAAGAAGUACUGGUUAGUCACUCUUCAUUCAUUUCUAAUAAUCUAUUCUUAGUAAAAUGCCUAUCAAUACCAUGUCUCGGGACAACUUUGGUUGGGUUCCUAUGAUUCAUGGGUAAUCUGUUGGCACAACUCCUCAGCUAGUCAGAGUUAUUUCUUUGAAAAGACUAAUCACCUGAAAAGCCGGAAGAAAGGAGUUGAAAUUAAUUUUUUUAUCAAGAAUAAGGGAGUUGAAACUACUAAACCUGAAUGUAGAAUUCAGCAUAUUUACAUUGGAUAUUAUAACUAACUGAAUCAAAUGAUUCUCAGGAUGAGUCACAUUCUUGCAGAUUAACCAAACAACUAAGAUGAUAUGGAAGUAAGAAAUACAGAGUUAAAGAAUGAAAAUGAAUAAGUAAUUUUCCUACCAAAGCUCGUCCGGCCAAGAAAUUGAGCUAUCAACCCCUACAGUAGUCUUAGAAUACAAAACAUUUUUCAAUUGAGAGAGAUAUGGUGUAAGUUUAAUUUCGAGUAGCUUGUCUAAAGGGAGUUCAAAGAAGUCAUACCAAGAUCGAAGAAUGAACUUACUAUAUACAUUGCAAAUGUGAUAAAUUGAACACAAUAAGAUACUUUAUAUUUGUAAAUCAUAAAUAUUCUAUUUCCUCCAGUUGGUUUGCCAAUAAAGCACGCUCCUCAACAGUGUCAUAUAUGCCUUUAAUGUUGUCCUCUUUAAUGUAACCAGGAAGCACUACUUCACUGCAAGUGACAAAAGAAAACAAUGAAAGCAGUUAGGUAAAUUUUGUAAUAAAGCUAUCAAUACUAAAUAGGAAAGGACGUUGUUGGAUAAGAGAGACCAAGAAUCUUGAUUUUACCUUGUAGUAUUACCAAGCAUACAAUUCAAGAUCCUAACGAAAGUGUGUUGUAUCCUGGGCUAGAUCCUAGCUGUAUAAAAACUUGAUUUCCUCCAAAGAUGCUCCAUAGUUUCCACAAUGACAUUCAAGCUUUUCAUGGAAGGUGUAUACAGAGUCAAAUGCAGUUGCACUGCAGAAACCUUCAUUCCAAAUAACAAGUGUAGCAUGUCAACCUUUUCUUUGCCGCAGAUCCAUUGAUAAAAAACUUGACUUUCUCGACGGUAAGUACUCCAAUCACCUUAGAAACCUAUAGAACAACUAUCAUUCUUUUUCAUCGAGCAGAAAGAAAGAGCAAAGACAGUUACAGAAACAAUUAAUACAUACAAAUUUGAAACCAUGAAGCUUUUCUUUUUAUCUUAUCUGUAGCUUUGCCUUUUCUCUCUCUUUUAAAUUGCAUAAUGAUAUGUAUAAAUAUUUUUUUUCCCUGUAAAUUACACUUAAGACUUCAGUAAUAUACUCUAGUGCAACAUGGAUGGAAGGCUAUUAUAAUUUUUUAGGAGUAACCAUUACAUUUUCUUUUUAAAAGAUCUUCUCAAUAUAGUUGGAAAAUUUUCACUUAUUCACUCGCUAACAAAAGUAAUUCUUUCUUGAAUGUGAAUCUUUUAUUUCGUCUUGUAGAUUUCACUCUUCUAAAUGAAUUCACAGAACCCUCGUGCCAUAUUUGUUCUAAACUUAAGACAAUACACUAAUAAUCCAAUUAAGAUAUAAAAUACAUCUAAGGGUAGUUGUAUCAAUAUUUGUCUAGUGUGGAACAAUAUCUAAAGAGCUUAACUCUUCUAACUGACAACUCUCUAUCAUUCUGCGCCAACACUUGGCAUCAUGUUUUCCAAUCUCUCCUAGAUAAAUGAUUUAUAAAGUAGAUUAAAUCUAACUUGUGUGACUUUUACCUCAGUUAAAACCAUAAGAAAGUUGUCCAGCACUAUCUCAAUUAAGUACAUGUAUUUCCUGCAAACUAUUCUUCUUUUUCGGUCUCAUUGUUAAUUUUGGAAGCACAUAUAAGAAUAUUAGGAGCUGAUAAAUCUGUUGCUACGAUCACAUCAUCAUCAUCUAAUGUAGUUACACGACCAUACCAAUCUUCUAUAUUCUAAAAGUUAAAUUUAUUUCUUUGCAAUGACUUGACCAAUCUGUCAUGUGAUAAUAAUUUUCUUCCAGGUAACAUAUAUCCCAAAGCUAACCGAAAUUAAAUAAAAUAAAUCUGUCGUGGCCCACACAAAGAAAACUCGACCUCUCCAACAUUUCAGCAGCCAGAGUCUCAAAUCUUUCCAACCUCACCAACUCCCUAUUCCUUUCCUGCCACCCCCUUUAAGUCAGCAUUCAUCUCGACAAUUUCGCGACAUAGCGUCUCUUUCCCUUUUUCCGAUGUCCCUGUCUUUCUUCUCUUUACUUCUCUUCUGUUAUCAAAUUUCCUAAACCUUAAUCCAAAUCAAAAUCCGGAGAAUCCAAUAAAAUAUGUCAAGCAAUUGGUUAUCGCUUUUUAAGUAUUAAAACCGAAAAAAUACACCUCAUCCUGAAAUCACUUAUAGUAUCGAAUUGCCAUGAAUUCUAUGUUAGCUUUAACUAACAACUUAAUCAAUAUAUGUAGUUUGCUAUAUGUCAAUUAAUAAGACGAGUAGAGCCAUAAGAUUUAUCAGGAUGAAACAGAAAGCUAGCUAAAAGAACCAAGUCGAACUUGUUACCAGAGUAGCACACAACAACGAACAUGAAAUUUCAGCAAAAGCAAGUCUCACCUCUCAGCAGAACUCGAAAUUUUAUGUUUCAGCAAUGCCAACACGGAGAACAACAGGGAGAAGAAAAUGAAUCACUCAGCAGCCGCAAAAAGAAAAUCGACCUGCGCAAAACAGAGUGAGGAAGGGGAUGAGCUGACAAACGGUGAGUCCAACUGCGUUGGCGGCCACGUUUUACAAGACCGACACUCGUAACUCUUUGAAAAUACAUAUCCAGCAUUGACUCCAACCCUAUAAGAAUGACCUCAACCCAAAUUACAUAGCUUUAAUUCCAAACCUAAAAGGAAAAACAAAGACGGAACGACAGAGAUCUACCAACACAGACACAAGGGAAGAUUGAAGAAUUGCACACCACGUGUUUGACAGCAAAGUACACCUCAACACCUGAUAGACGCGACAAACAUCUUAUUACAAAUCGUCAUCUUCUCCAGUUUUGCUUUGGCCUGAAGAGUUAUAGUGGAAGCAACUUGGGCUUGAGUUCAAUUCGACCAGAACUUUCGAAUACCAAAAAACGAGGAACAAAAUCAACAGCCCACAAUAUCAAACUUAGGGAGAAAACGAAGGGGAAAAGAGAGAUCUAUACCUUGAAGAAUCUAAACUCUAAAGAGAGGCAGAGAGGAUAGAAAGAGAGAGAGAGAGCACGGGGGAGACGAGAAACUGAAGACCGUGCUUACGUGUUGAACAAAAGGGACGUACACGAGAACAAUUUUAAGCCACUUAGAGGGCAGAUUUCCAAAAAUAACCCCGAAGCAGAGAUGGAAAAUUCCAAAAAUAAACCAGAAGCAGGACGACGAAUAGCACCUCAACUCCCCCUUCUAAAUAAGUAUAAUUAUAAUAUAACUAGUAGAGAAUGGCCGUGCUGAACCCGGGCCCGAAUCUAUUUAAGUUAACAAUUUAUAUUAUUUUAGUGGAUAAUUUUUCAAAGAG